GAUGAACGCUGGCGGCGUGCCUAAUACAUGCAAGUCGAGCGAACGGACGAGAAGCUUGCUUCUCUGAUGUUAGCGGCGGACGGGUGAGUAACACGUGGAUAACCUACCUAUAAGACUGGGAUAACUUCGGGAAACCGGAGCUAAUACCGGAUGAUAUUUUGAACCGCAUGGUUCAAAAGUGAAAGACGGUCUUGCUGUCACUUUAGAUGGAUCCGCGCUGCAUUAGCUAGUUGGUAAGGUAACGGCUUACCAAGGCAACGAUGCAUAGCCGACCUGAGAGGGUGAUUGGCCACACUGGAACUGAGACACGGUCCAGACUCCCACGGGAGGCAGCAGUAGGGAAUCUUCCGCAAUGGGCGAAAGCCUGACGGAGCAACGCCGCGUGAGUGAUGAAGGUCUUCGGAUCGUAAAACUCUGUUAUUAGGGAAGAACAUAUGUGUAAGUAACUGUGCACAUCUUGACGGUACCUAAUCAGAAAGCCACGGCUAACUACGUG
This 496-nucleotide ribosomal RNA is filed under the name uncultured bacterium. RNAcentral's name for it is "partial 16S ribosomal RNA". It matches the Rfam family "Bacterial small subunit ribosomal RNA", at positions 28 to 507 of the family's 1533-position model. The record is from RNAcentral.